CCUACGGGAGGCAGCAGUGAGGAAUAUUGGUCAAUGGGCGAGAGCCUGAACCAGCCAAGUCGCGUGAGGGAGUACUGCCCUAUGGGUUGUAAACCUCUUUUGUCGGGGAGCAAAAGCCGGACGUGUCCGGCUGUGAGAGUACCCGAAGAAAAAGCAUCGGCUAACUCCGUGCCAGCAGCCGCGGUAAUACGGAGGAUGCGAGCGUUAUCCGGAUUUAUUGGGGUUAAAGGGUGCGCAGGCGGAUUUUUAAGUCAGCGGUCAAAUCGUGGGGCUCAACCCCAUCCAGCCGUUGAAACUGGGGAUCUAGAGUGUGCGAGAGGUAUGCGGAAUGCGUGGUGUAGCGGUGAAAUGCAUAGAUAUCACGCAGAACCCCGAUUGCGAAGGAAGCAUACCGGUGCACAACUGACGCUCAGGCACGAAAGCGUGGGUAUCGAACAGGAUUAGAUACCCGUGUAGUC
This 458-nucleotide ribosomal RNA is filed under the name uncultured bacterium. RNAcentral describes it as "partial 16S ribosomal RNA". It matches the Rfam family "Bacterial small subunit ribosomal RNA", at positions 338 to 795 of the family's 1533-position model. The record is from RNAcentral.